GACGAACGCUGGCGGCGGGCUUAACACAUGCAAGUCGAACGGAAAGGCCCUGCUUUUGUGGGGUGCUCGAGUGGCGAACGGGUGAGUAACACGUGAGUAACCUGCCCUUGACUUUGGGAUAACUUCAGGAAACUGGGGCUAAUACCGGAUAGGAGCUCCUGCUGCAUGGAGGGGGUGGGAAAGUUUCGGCUGUUGGGGAUGGACUCGCGGCUUAUCAGCUUGUUGGUUGGGUAGUGGAUUACCAAGGCAUUGGCGGGUAGCCGGCCUGAGAGGGUGACCGGCCACAUUGGGACUGCGAUACGGCCCAGACUCCUACGUGAGGCAGCAGUGGGGAAUAUUGCACAAUGGGCGGACGCCUGAUGCAGCAACGCCGCGUGCGGGAUGACGGCCUUCGGGUUGUAAACCGCUUUCGCCUGUGACGAAGCGUGAGUGACGGUAAUGGGUAAAGAAGCACCGGCUAACUACGUG
RNAcentral lists this ribosomal RNA (468 nucleotides) under uncultured bacterium. RNAcentral's name for it is "partial 16S ribosomal RNA". It matches the Rfam family "Bacterial small subunit ribosomal RNA", at positions 28 to 507 of the family's 1533-position model. The record is from RNAcentral.